Molecule: long non-coding RNA, 374 nt
Filed under: Equus asinus (donkey)
Lineage: Eukaryota; Metazoa; Chordata; Mammalia; Perissodactyla; Equidae
Description: lncRNA (ENSEASG00005037383.1)
Source: RNAcentral
GUGAAGUCCUUCUUCUGGCAGAAAAUGGGGAGUUCAGACACUUCCGUCAUGUUCGAGGAAGGCGGCCGAUGCUGGAGAUAUACACAGGAAUGAGACUCAGCUCUUGGCCUGGGGAGCUAGAGCAUGAAGAGCUACUUCCAAGCCAGAAAAUAUUUAAAAGUCAAAGCCAGGUGAAUAGAAUCAUAUUGUAAAGCCCAGUAAGGGAAAGACAAAGCCUGAAGUAUCAAAGAUUGGGAAGACACCACAACGGGGCUGGGAACUAGAGCAGAGGUGAGACGAAGGAUGGAAUCGCACACAUGAGGGUACAACUAGGCUGGAGCAGCAACCCAGCUCCUUGGCUGGGGCAGCCACCUUCAGUGCACGGGAGCCCGGGC